AACUCCUGAGCUCAAGCUAUCCACCCGCCUCGGCCUCCCAAAGUGCUAGGAUUAGAAGCGUGAGCCACUGCCAGGCCCGAGCCACUGCCUGGCCUAGACACACUUAUUUUAAACUGUGCUCUAUUGUUUUCUGGGCUGAAUAUACCUGUUGAUGCCUGAUACCGUUAUCUGUCUUCUUGGAGUCCUGUGUUUUGAAAUCUAGGCUUGCAGGCUUCUGCAAAGGGGGUUAUGUUCUGUUUCCCUGGGUAUUCACUGUGUGUCAUGCUCUGGCAGGAGCCUCCGUCCAGCCUUUUGGGGUCAUGCUUGGGUGCUUGCCUUGCCUUGCCGUUGGGAGCUGUAGAUCCAGUCCUGGAGCCAGCAAGAGGCUAGGCCGAGGGCUGUCCUCGUCUCUAUCCCCAGAUAUCGCUGCAGAAGUGGUUCUGGCUCCCACCGGGAGUAGAAAACAGCAAGGAAACCUCACUUCGACCCCCUGUGAUUCCAUCUCCAGCCUGACCAGUCAGCGCUCCACAUGUCCCAAAGCCCCACCCUCCGAAUUAGCUUUGAAAACUCUGAUCCCAGAAUGUGCGGGGAGACUGACUGAGUGAUAGUAAAACCAGUCUCCUGCA
Non-coding RNA from Chlorocebus sabaeus (green monkey), 605 nucleotides. The record is from RefSeq and is a predicted model, not a curated record. NCBI's taxonomy places the organism in Eukaryota, Metazoa, Chordata, Mammalia, Primates, Cercopithecidae.